UGGGGGCAGCAGGCUUCCAGCGGGCAGAUGGCAUCGCCCCUGCAGGCAGCCAUGCAGCCUGAGCCCAAGGAGCCCCGGGGCCCCCAGAGCGAGGGGCCACUCCCGGGGCCGCCCAGCAUCACCCACGGUCCACGAGCAUCGCUCUGCCAACACGGCGAUGCGCCUGCACAGGAAAACGAGAGAGAGGAAUAGAGAAACCGAAGCAAAUGUGCCAUUAUUCCAGAACAAACAGACCGUCAGGCCCGGUCACCAGCAUGAGCGACAUCAAAAGGUGCCAUGGCAACCGCACAAACAUGCGCCAGGAGGCAGGGGGGCGGCGGGGGAGCCUGGGGUUUGCAGGAGACGGACCAGCAGCCCAGAGCACGCGGAAUUGCCGUGAGCAGGAGGCCGCUCCGCUGGCUUCAGGCCUGGCCCGGACUGGGAACGUGACAGCCACCAAACAGACGCUCAGAGGUUUCCAGGACAGAAUCGUGUCUCUGUCUUGCUCACCGACGUCUCCCCAAUACCAAGGAAGACGGCUGGCAGGCAGCAAGCCAUCGAUAAACAUGUGGUGAAGGAGUGAGUGAGCAGAGACGCCGGCACAGCUUCUCAUUCCCUCCCUCCCUCCUUCCCUUCUCAGCGAAAAACCACUCUGUCUUUUA
Molecule: long non-coding RNA, 641 nt
Organism: Myotis davidii
Lineage: Eukaryota; Metazoa; Chordata; Mammalia; Chiroptera; Vespertilionidae
Exons: 2
Source: RefSeq, a predicted model, not a curated record